RNAcentral lists this ribosomal RNA (305 nucleotides) under uncultured bacterium. RNAcentral's name for it is "bacterial SSU rRNA". It matches the Rfam family "Bacterial small subunit ribosomal RNA", at positions 335 to 654 of the family's 1533-position model. The record is from RNAcentral.
UUUCCUACGGGGGGCAGCAGUGGGGAAUAUUGGGCAAUGGGCGCAAGCCUGACCCAGCAACGCCGCGUGAAGGAAGAAGGCUUUCGGGUUGUAAACUUCUUUUCUCAGGGACGAAGAAAGUGACGGUACCUGAGGAAUAAGCCACGGCUAACUACGUGCCAGCAGCCGCGGUAAUACGUAGGUGGCAAGCGUUAUCCGGAUUUACUGGGUGUAAAGGGCGUGUAGGCGGGACUGCAAGUCAGAUGUGAAAACCAUGGGCUCAACCCAUGGCCUGCAUUUGAAACUGUAGUUCUUGAGUGUUGGAG